UUCACCUUAGGGGACAAGAAAAAAUUGCCUUUUUUCUCCUGCCAUGGGGGGGCGCUCUUUUGGGGAGAAAAAAUUCCUUCAAAAAUGUGUUGAUGGCUGGACAUUGCAUCAUCCUAGAAAACUUGGAGGCCAGUGAGGACAAAAAUAAAAAGUUAUAAGACUUUUAAGAAUGUGGAUUUUUGGGUUAUCUUUGGCGCCCGCUAGAACCUAAACCGUAGGGUGCAGCGCCAUGAUUUGUACAACUUUGAAUGGCCAUGGGGAGUAGAUUGGCCUGAGCAAAUUUGGUGCCGGUGGAACGAAGGCCUUCGGAGGAGUUAGCCACAUUCCAAUGUGUGCGGAUCGGCAAAAAAUGCAAAAUAGCCCUUUAACCGUACAUUUCACAGAUACGCCUACACUGACUUUUUUGUAGACCUUAUUGAGAUACACGUGUGUGUCAAUUUUUGUGUCAAUAUGACAAAGCGUACAGGCGUGACACUCGAUAGUGUGAAUUUUCACCUUAGGGGGCGCUUUGGAGCCAUUUUGCAAAUAAUUUUUUCAGCGACUUCAGAAUAUCGAAUUUUUUACCAGGCCCGGUCGUCCUGCCAAAUUUCAUGAGUUUUCGCCAGUGGGAAGUGGGCCAUUUUCCCCUUCAAAGGGGAGGAAAAAUAAGAAAAAGAAAGAAAGAACUAGGGCCCCGUUAGGGCACUGGCGGGCCCGAGCCGUGUUGCGCCGCCCCCAGCGCGACCGCCUACCCCUCUUGAUCGCGUCACACUCAAGGUCCAAAGAUGGUGUGCGCACUUGUCUGUGGUCAUUUACCAUUAUAAUGAAUGGGAGGCGCAGUUUCUACCAAAACGCUCGCUGCAGACAAACUCCAUGUCCUUUUUGAAAAAAGUCUGGACCAUGAGUGAGGGCACAAACAGAGCUAGUAUAUAUCCAAAUGGCAAGUUGCUCCUCCUUUCGGUUUUGCCGAGAGAGCGAUGCUUUUGAGCCAUUGAGCGAUAGGCAGGAAAAACUUGACUUUUUCUCCUGCCAUGGGGGGGCGCUCUUUUGGGGAGAAAAAAUUCCUUCACAAAUGUGUUGAUGGCUGGACAUUGCAUCAUCCUAGAAAACUUGGAGGCCAGUGAGGACAAAAAUAAAAAGUUAUAAGACUUUUAAAAAUGUGGAUAUUUGGGUCCUCUUUGGCACCCCCUAGAACGUAAACCGUGGGGUGCAGCGUCAUGAUUUGUACAACUUUGAAUGGCCAUGGGGUGUAGAUUGACCUGAGCAAAUUUGAAGCCGAUGGGAAAAAAGCUUUAGGAGGAGUUAGCCACAUUCCAAUGUGUGCGAAUCGGCAAAAAAUGCGAAAUAGCCCUUUAACCGUACAUUGAACAGAUACGCUCGCAUUGACUUUUUCGUAGAUCUUAUUGAGAUACAUGUGUGUGUCAAAUUUUGUGUCAUUUUGACAAAGCGUAAAGGCGUGACAGUCAACAAUGUGUAUUUUCGCCUUAGGAGACAAGAAAAAAUGGACUUUUUUCUCCUGCCAUGGGGGGGCGCUCUUUUGGCGAGUAAAAAUUCCUUCACAAAUGUGUUGAUGGCUGGACAUUGCAUCAUCCUAGAGAACUUGGAGGCCAGUGAGGACAAAAAUAAAAAGUUAUAAGACUUUUAAGACUGUGGAUUUUUGGGUUAUCUUUGGCGCCCCCUAGAACGUAAACCGUGGGGUGCAGCGUCAUGAUUUGUACAACUUUUAAUGGCCAUGGGGUGUAGAUUGGCCUGAGCAAAUGUGGUGCCGUUGGAACGAAAGCCUUCGGAGGAGUUAGCGAAAUUCCAAUGUGUGCGGAUCGGCAAAAAAUGCGAAAUAACCCUUUAACCGUACAUUUGACAGAUACGCCCGCACUGACUUUUUUGUAGAUCUUAUUGAGAUACAUGUGUGUGUCAAAUUUUGUGUCAUUUUGACAAAGCGUAAAGGAGUGACAGUCAACGAUGUGUAUUUUCGCCUUAGGAGACAAGAAAAAAUGGACAUUUUUCUCCUGCCAUGGGGGGCGCUCUUUUGGCGAGUAAAAAUUCCUUCACAAAUGUGUUGAUGGCUGGACAUUGCAUCAUCCUAGAGAACUUGGAGGCCAGUGAGGACAAAAAUAAAAAGUUAUAAGACUUUUAAGACUGUGGAUUUUUGGGUUAUCUUUGGCGCCCCCUAGAACGUAAACCGUGGGGUGCAGCGUCAUGAUUUGUACAACUUUUAUUGGCCAUGGGGUGUAGAUUGGCCUGAGCAAAUGUGGUGCCGGUGGAACGAAAACCUUCGGAGGAGUUAGCGAAAUUCCAAUGUGUGCGGAUCGGCAAAAAAUGCGAAAUAAACCUUUAACCGUACAUUUGACAGAUACGCCCGCACUGACUUUUUUGUAGAUCUUAUUGAGAUACACGUGUGUGUCAAAUUUUGUGUCAUUUUGACAAAGCGUACAGGCGUGACACUCAAUCAUGUGAAUUUUUCACCUUAGGGGGCGCUAUGGAGCCAUUUUGCAUUUGAUUUUUUGGGCGACUUCAGAAUAUCGAAUUUUUCACCAGGCCCGGUCGUCCUGCCAAAUUUCAUGACUUUUCACCAGUGGGAAGUGGGCCAUUUUCCAGUUCAAAGGGGCAGAAAAAUAAUAAUAAUAAUAAGAAGAAGAAACUAGGGCCCCGUUGGGGCACUGGCGGGCCCGAGCCGUGUCACGCCGCCCCCAGCGCGACCGCCUCCCCCACCCGAUCGCGUCACACUCAAGGUCCAAAGAUGGUGUGCGCACUUGUUUGUGGUCAUUUACCAUUAUAAUGAACGGGAGGCGCAGUUUCUACCAAAACGCUCGCUGCAGAAAAACUCCAUGUCCUAUUUGAAAAAAGUCUGGACCAUGAGUGAGGGCACAAACACAGCUAAGAUAUAUCCAAAUGGCAAGUUGCUCCUCCUUUCGCUUUUGCCGAGAGAGCAGUGCGUUUGAGCCAUUGAAUGAUGAACAGGAAAAACUUGACUUUAUUCUCCUGCCAUGGGGGGGCGCUCUUUUAAAGAGAAAAAACUCCUUCACAAAUGUGUUGAUGGCUGGACAUUGCAUCAUCCUAGAAAACAUGGAGGCCAGUGAGGACAAAAAUAAAAAGUUAUAAGACUUUUAAAUAUGUGGAUUUUAGGGUUAUAUUUGGCGCCCCCUAGAACCUAAACCGUGGGGUGCAGCGUCAUGAUUUGAAUAACUUUUAAUGGCCAUGGGGUGUAGAUUGGCCUGAGCAAAUGUGGUGCCGGUGGAACGAAAGCCUUCGGAGGAAUUAGCGAAAUUCCAAUGUGUGCGAAUCUGCAAAAAAUGCAAAAUAACCCUUUAACCGUACAUCUUACAGAUACGUGGCCAUUGACUUUUUCGAAGAUCUUAUGUAAAUACACGUGUAUGUAAAAUUUUGUGUCAAUACGACAAAACAUACAGGCGUAGCACUCAACAAUGUGUAUUUUCACCUUAGUGGACAAGAAAAAAUUGACUUUUUUCUCCUGCCAUGGGGGGCGCUCUUUUGCCGAGUAAAAAUUCCUUCACAAAUGUGUUGAUGGCUGGACAUUGCAUCAUCCUAGAAAACUUGGAGGCCAGUGGGGACAAAAAUAAAAAGUUAUAAGACUUUUAAAUAUGUGGAUUUUACGGUUAUCUUUGGCUCCCCCUAGAACCUAAACCGUGGGGUGCAGCGUCAUGAUUUGAAUAACUUUUAAUGGCCAUGGGGUGUAGAUUGGCCUGAGCAAAUGUGGUGCCGGUGGAACGAAAGCCUUCGGAGGAGUUAGCGAAAUUCCAAUGUGUGCGGAUCGGCAAAAAAUGCGGAAUAACCCUUUAACCGUACAUUUGACAGAUACGCGCGCAUUGACUUUUUCGUAGAUCUUAUUGAGAUACAUGUGUGUGUCAAUUUUUGUGUCAUUUUGCCAAAGCGUACAGGUGUUACACUCAACAAUGUGUAUUUUCACCUUAGGGGACAAGAAAAAAUG
Non-coding RNA from Xyrichtys novacula (pearly razorfish), 3925 nucleotides. The record is from the annotation of a GenBank genome assembly. Lineage: Eukaryota; Metazoa; Chordata; Actinopteri; Labriformes; Labridae.